This 412-nucleotide ribosomal RNA is filed under the name uncultured bacterium. RNAcentral describes it as "bacterial SSU rRNA". It matches the Rfam family "Bacterial small subunit ribosomal RNA", at positions 505 to 916 of the family's 1533-position model. The record is from RNAcentral.
GUGCCAGCAGCCGCGGUAAGACAGAGGUGCCAAGCGUUAGGCGGAAUCACUGGGCUUAAAGCGCGCAGGCGGUUCGUUGCGUCCGAGGUGAAAUCUCCUGGCUCAAUUGGGAGGGGUCUUCGGAUACGGGCGGACUUGAGGAGAUGCAGAGGAGACUGGAAUUCCCGGUGUAGCGGUGAAAUGUGUAGAGAUCGGGAGGAACACCGGUGGCGAAGGCGGGUCUCUGGGCAUUUCCUGACGCUGAGGCGCGAAAGCGUGGGGAGCAAACGGGAUUAGAUACCCCGGUAGUCCACGCUGUAAACGAUGACGACUAGGUGUGGGGUGGUUCAGUCCACUCCGUGCCGCAGCUAACGCAUUAAGUCGUCCGCCUGGGGAGUACGGCCGCAAGGUUGAAACUCAAAUGAAUUGACGG